GGUAAUGGCCCACCAAGGCGACGAUCGGUAGCUGGUCUGAGAGGAUGAUCAGCCACACUGGGACUGAGACACGGCCCAGACUCCUGCGGGAGGCAGCAGUGGGGAAUAUUGGACAAUGGGCGAAAGCCUGAUCCAGCCAUGCCGCGUGGGUGAAGAAGGCCUUCGGGUUGUAAAGCCCUUUUGUUGGGGAAGAAAUCCUGCUGGCUAAUACCCGGCGGGGAUGACGGUACCCAAAGAAUAAGCACCGGCUAACUUCGUGCCAGCAGCCGCGGUAAUACGAAGGGUGCAAGCGUUACUCGGAAUUACUGGGCGUAAAGCGUGCGUAGGUGGUUCGCUAAGUCUGAUGUGAAAGCCCUGGGCUCAACCUGGGAACUGCAUUGGAUACUGGCGGGCUAGAGUGCGGUAGAGGGCAGUGGAAUUCCUGGUGUAGCAGUGAAAUGCGUAGAGAUCAGGAGGAACACCCGUGGCGAAGGCGACUGCCUGGACCAGUACUGACACUGAGGCACGAAAGCGUGGGGAGCAAACAGGAUUAGAUACCCUGGUAGUCCACGCCCUAAACGAUGCGAACUGGAUGUUGGGUUCAAUCGGGAACUCAGUAUCGAAGCUAACGCGUUAAGUCGCCGC
RNAcentral lists this ribosomal RNA (624 nucleotides) under uncultured Gammaproteobacteria bacterium. RNAcentral's name for it is "bacterial SSU rRNA". It matches the Rfam family "Bacterial small subunit ribosomal RNA", at positions 256 to 872 of the family's 1533-position model. The record is from RNAcentral. Lineage: Bacteria; Pseudomonadati; Pseudomonadota; Gammaproteobacteria.